Molecule: long non-coding RNA, 238 nt
Filed under: Chloebia gouldiae (Gouldian finch)
Lineage: Eukaryota; Metazoa; Chordata; Aves; Passeriformes; Passeridae
Description: Erythrura gouldiae (Gouldian finch) lncRNA (ENSEGOG00005005569.1)
Source: RNAcentral
UCUGAAAAAAAAAGAGAACGAAAUGAUUGUUCCUGUUCUCCUUCUUAAGUCAUUUGAAACAUUGUCCCUGCUAGUUUUCUAAGUUUACUGCAAUCUCUGCACGGGGGGAGGGAGACAGCGGGAGAGACAGAUAUUACAAAUAUCAGAGCAGGUAGUGUUUAGGGCAAGACUCCUUCCAGCUUCAACAACUGGUUCAGAGGGAAAUAUCUAAGUCAUUACUAAGCCAGAUCAAUUACAA